This is a long non-coding RNA of Formica exsecta, 203 nucleotides long. RefSeq lists it as uncharacterized. Lineage: Eukaryota; Metazoa; Arthropoda; Insecta; Hymenoptera; Formicidae. The transcript is spliced from 3 exons. The record is from RefSeq and is a predicted model, not a curated record.
UGCACCACAAGGUCGAGGAUCGCCGAACUGCGCAUCAUCUCGAUAGCCCGCUCGAAUGGCAGAUCGAUGAAUUCAAUUCUUCCCAGAGCCGCGCUUAUUAUGCAAGUUUGGUUUCGAAAUAUAAAGGUACGAUGCCCCUGCAAACGCCGCAACCCAGACGACCCUUCUCGCCGACGAGAAUCCGAAUUCUGACUUCUGCAUUC